CAAUAGCGUAUAUUAAAGUUGUUGCAGUUAAAAAGCUCGUAGUUGGACCUUGGACCUGGACAGGCGGUCCGCCUCACGGCGUGUACUGUCUUGCUGGGUCUUUCCUCUUGGUGAUCUGUUGUUUCGGCAGCAGGGAACCAGGACUUUUACUUUGAAAAAAUUAGAGUGUUCAAAGCAGGCUCGACGCCGGAAUAUAUUAGCAUGGAAUAAUAAAGUAGGACGUGCGGUUCUAUUUUGUUGGUUUUUGGAAUCGCCGUAAUGAUUAAUAGGGACAGUCGGGGGCAUUAGUACUCACAUGCUAGAGGUGAAAUUCUUGGAUUUUGUGAAGACUAACUUCUGCGAAAGCAUUUGCCAAGGAUGUUUUCAUUAA
RNAcentral lists this ribosomal RNA (370 nucleotides) under uncultured eukaryote. Its description in RNAcentral is "partial 18S ribosomal RNA". It matches the Rfam family "Eukaryotic small subunit ribosomal RNA", at positions 592 to 976 of the family's 1831-position model. The record is from RNAcentral.